This 116-nucleotide ribosomal RNA is filed under the name Pteropus alecto (black flying fox). Lineage: Eukaryota; Metazoa; Chordata; Mammalia; Chiroptera; Pteropodidae. The record is from RNAcentral.
GUCUAUGGCCGUGCCACCCUGAACAAGCCCGAUGUCUGAUCUCGGAAGCUAAACAGGGUCAGGCCUGGUUAGUACUUGGAUGGCAGACUACCUAGGAAGACCAGGGGCUGUAGAUG